AUUUCUGUCACCAACGAAAGCGCAGCAAGGACACCGGAAAACUCAUGAAAUUACCGGAUAACUCGGUUAUUGCUCAUUACAAUUGCAUGGUGAGAGACGUUAUGUGUUGUCUGUAAGGAUCAGUUCUGGGUUAAAGUUCUAAACGUGGAACGUUCCAUUCAUUCCUCUGGUGAAAUCAACACAGUUAGAGCGUUGCUGUCCCAGCUGUAUCCGUUGAUUGGCAAAAUGUUCUAGAAAUCCAUUUUAACGUGUUUUAGAAGCUAGGAUGGGCAGGGAAAGCUUGAUAGGGGUUGCAGUCCUCCUCAGCAGUGCUAGCAUCGGUGUCUAUGAAUAUGCUGUUAUGGUUAAUGCAUUAGCCGCUAAUGACGUUUUUUGAACUGAACUUGGCAAUUCCAAGAGGGAAGUUGAAUAUAUUGGUAUACCUGAAAGGCUGAAUGAUUACCCUUCACAAAGAUCUUUGUCCCUCUAUGCUGGGACUGCCAC
This is a non-coding RNA of Pelobates cultripes (western spadefoot toad), 483 nucleotides long. The record is from the annotation of a GenBank genome assembly. NCBI's taxonomy places the organism in Eukaryota, Metazoa, Chordata, Amphibia, Anura, Pelobatidae.